Molecule: transfer RNA, 67 nt
Filed under: Dasyatis pastinaca (common stingray)
Lineage: Eukaryota; Metazoa; Chordata; Chondrichthyes; Myliobatiformes; Dasyatidae
Description: tRNA-Cys
Source: RNAcentral
AGCCUUGUAGUAUUAAUAUACAUGGGAUUGCAAAUCCCAAGAAGGAGAAUAGGCUCUCCCGGGGCUU